AGCGAACGCUGGCGGAAUGCUUAACACAUGCAAGUCGCACGGUCGGCAACGGCAGUGGCGGACGGGUGAGUAACGCGUAGGAAUGUGUCUUGAGGUGGGGGACAACCCUGGGAAACUGGGGCUAAUACCGCAUGAUGGGCUGAGGCCCAAAGCCUUCGGGUGCCUUGAGAGCAGCCUGCGUCCGAUUAGCUUGUUGGUGGGGUAAAGGCUUACCAAGGCGUCGAUCGGUAGCUGGCUGAGAGGACGACCAGCCACACUGGGACUGAGACACGGCCCAGACUCCUACGGGAGGCAGCAGUGGGGAAUUUUGGACAAUGGGGGCAACCCUGAUCCAGCCAUGCCGCGUGAGUGAAGAAGGCCUUCGGUUGUAAG
RNAcentral lists this ribosomal RNA (372 nucleotides) under uncultured bacterium. RNAcentral's name for it is "bacterial SSU rRNA". It matches the Rfam family "Bacterial small subunit ribosomal RNA", at positions 28 to 429 of the family's 1533-position model. The record is from RNAcentral.